This 250-nucleotide ribosomal RNA is filed under the name uncultured bacterium. RNAcentral's name for it is "partial 16S ribosomal RNA". It matches the Rfam family "Bacterial small subunit ribosomal RNA", at positions 524 to 773 of the family's 1533-position model. The record is from RNAcentral.
UACGGAGGGUGCUAGCGUUGCUCGGAAUCACUGGGCGUAAAGAGCGUGUAGGCGGAAUGAAUAGUCGGAUGUGAAAGCCCCGGGCUCAACCCGGGAAGUGCAUACGAUACUGUCAUUCUUGAGGUCGAGAGGGGAGAGCGGAAUUCCUGGUGUAGCGGUGAAAUGCGUAGAUAUCAGGAAGAACACCUGUGGCGAAGGCGGCUCUCUGGAUCGAUUCUGACGCUGAGACGCGAAAGCUAGGGGAGCAAAC